Molecule: ribosomal RNA, 479 nt
Filed under: uncultured bacterium
Lineage: Bacteria
Description: bacterial SSU rRNA
Rfam family: Bacterial small subunit ribosomal RNA
Source: RNAcentral
GAACGCUGGCGGCAUGCCUUACACAUGCAAGUCGAACGGUAACAGGUCUUCGGAUGCUGACGAGUGGCGAACGGGUGAGUAAUACAUCGGAACGUGCCCGAGAGUGGGGGAUAACGAAGCGAAAGCUUUGCUAAUACCGCAUACGAUCUCAGGAUGAAAGCAGGGGACCGCAAGGCCUUGCGCUCACGGAGCGGCCGAUGGCAGAUUAGGUAGUUGGUGGGAUAAAAGCUUACCAAGCCGACGAUCUGUAGCUGGUCUGAGAGGACGACCAGCCACACUGGGACUGAGACACGGCCCAGACUCCUACGGGAGGCAGCAGUGGGGAAUUUUGGACAAUGGGCGCAAGCCUGAUCCAGCCAUGCCGCGUGCAGGAUGAAGGCCUUCGGGUUGUAAACUGCUUUUGUACGGAACGAAAAGACUCUGGUUAAUACCUGGGGUCCAUGACGGUACCGUAAGAAUAAGCACCGGCUAACUACGUG